Molecule: ribosomal RNA, 468 nt
Filed under: uncultured bacterium
Lineage: Bacteria
Description: partial 16S ribosomal RNA
Rfam family: Bacterial small subunit ribosomal RNA
Source: RNAcentral
GACGAACGCUGGCGGCGUGCUUAACACAUGCAAGUCGAACGGAAAGGCCCUGCUUUUGUGGGUUGCUCGAGUGGCGCACGGGUGAGUAACACGUGAGUAACCUCCCCUUAACUUUGGGAUAACUUCAGGAAACUGGGGCUCAUACCGGAUAUAAUCUCCUGCUCCAUGUUGGGGGUUGGAAAGUUUCGGCGGUUGGGGAUGGACUCGCGGCUUAUCAGCUUGUUGGGGGGGUAGUGGCUUACCAAGGCUUUGACGGGUAGCCGGCCUGAGAGGGUGACCGGGGACAUGGGGACUGAGAUACGGCCCAGAAUCCUACGGGAGGCAGCAGGGGGGAAUAUUGCAGAAUGGGCGGAAGACUGAUGCAGAAACGCCGCGUGCGGGAUGACCGGCUUCGGGUUGUAAACAGAUUUCGACGGUGAAGAAGAGGGAGUGACGGUAAUGGGUAAAGAAGCACCGGCUAACUACGUG